GCCCUUAUAGUUUAAAAUUAAAAUUUUAAUUUUGUAAAUUAGAGAUGUUAUCUGAGGGUA
This 60-nucleotide transfer RNA is filed under the name Proasellus granadensis. Its description in RNAcentral is "transfert RNA-T(ACA)". Lineage: Eukaryota; Metazoa; Arthropoda; Malacostraca; Isopoda; Asellidae. The record is from RNAcentral.